Long non-coding RNA from Oncorhynchus tshawytscha (Chinook salmon), 1429 nucleotides. The record is from Ensembl. Lineage: Eukaryota; Metazoa; Chordata; Actinopteri; Salmoniformes; Salmonidae.
CACACCAUGAGAAAGUAAAAAGAAACAGCGAUGUUGUAGCGGUUUAUCGACACCACUGCAUUUUUGGGCAUGCAACAAUUGGCUUUUAGAGGACACGAUGAGAGGGAAAGUUCCGCUAACAAGGGCAACUACAAUGAGAUUGCGGAGCAACUGGGUUCUACAGUUUGACCCCACUGCUGUCCCUGGCUCCACACACAUCCUGCCCGGCCAUCUAGAUGUUUGAAGCCACAUUUCAUUUGCCCGGUCAUUCACUAGCAAAUUGAAUGUUUCCUGUCCAAGCACUUUAAAUCCUGUCCUGCCCUCAGUGGAAGAGUUGAGCUCUCUCCAAACACCAUCCAUCCAUCCAUGAUGAGCCUGUCCUGCACUAAAGUCUAUGAACACCUCAACCCCCGUCCUUCACUGAAGUCGAACCUCUGAACACCUCAACUCAUGCCUCAUACCCUCAUUCAAUCACUGCUGUGAUCCCUUCCCAACACUACUCAUUUAGGAAAAGUCAAGGAGGGGAGGCAUGACUUUAUAAUUGGCAGAGAAGGAGGACCAGAAGGAGCCGCUGCUCAGUGCAACGCAGCCUCCAUCCUCAUGGAUGAAGACCGCAUGGAGCUGGUGUAGCUAACCAUGGCAGCAGUGGCCCUGCCCUCUCUGGCCAUCCUGACCGGGGCUCAGGAGAUCUCAGACGACUAGUGGAAGGACAUGGUCCAGAAGAUGCUCCAGACUCGCCAAAGCUCAGAAGGCCUGACUAUGGAGCGCAAAUUAGACUGAAUUGCCUCCUUUCCCACAGUGUCUUUAACUGUGCCCUGCAUUUCACCAUCACACUUACCCCAGGGGAGUCUGAGCUGAGGUCCUCUGAACAGUCCUAGGUGUCUCAAUUCUCAAGAUAUGAGAGAAAUUGUGCAAACCCCUUUAUGUCCAAUUCAUAUUAUAUUAGGAUAUAUCUCCUAAAUAUUUGUGUUUGAAAGGAGCCUCUGGGUACUCACUGAUCCUAACCUAGAGGGCGGCAGGUAGCUUAGUGGUUAAGCACAUCGGGCCAAUGACUGAAAGAUUGCUGGUUUGAAUCCCCAAGCCAACUAGGUGAAACAUCUGCCUGUGCCCUUGAGCAUGCCACUUAACCUUAAUUGUUCCAGUACAUUUCUCUGGAUAAGAGUGUCUGUAAAAUAUGUAUCUUUUUUUCAUGAGCAGUCAAAAAUACUGACUGAGCAGUUCUAGUGUUAAAUGGCUGUGGGCUAGCAGACUGGUUCAUACUGUGUACAUUACUGUUCAUACUGUGUUGUCAUUGAAUUAAAAUUAUUUUAAUGGUUGUCCCUAACGACCUGAUUCAUACUGUAGUUUGUAGCCUACAUUUCUGUACCAUGCAUAUUAUUGUCUGUUUAGCAUUGCUGAAGCCAACUAGCCAAGUCCAUAGAUUAUAGGCACUCAAUAAAUAGAUAUGAAU